Molecule: ribosomal RNA, 72 nt
Filed under: Thalassiosira antarctica
Lineage: Eukaryota; Bacillariophyta; Thalassiosirophyceae; Thalassiosirales; Thalassiosiraceae
Source: RNAcentral
AACUGUUACGGAACUCGUAGUAUUUUGAUUUUUACGUGGUGGUAUCUACCAUUUUUUACUGGCAACCAUGUC